RNAcentral lists this long non-coding RNA (218 nucleotides) under Lathyrus oleraceus (garden pea). RNAcentral's name for it is "Pisum sativum (pea) long non-coding RNA (PSAT_LNC022706)". The record is from RNAcentral. Lineage: Eukaryota; Viridiplantae; Streptophyta; Magnoliopsida; Fabales; Fabaceae.
UUUUCUCUUAUUUUCUUUUUAAACUUAUUUUUGCAUUUAAUUUUCAACCAUUUUUAAACACUUUGAGAUCCGAUUAUUCAUAUUUUUCUUGACUUAUCAUAAUUUUCUCAACCAUUUCUUUUAUGUUUUGGUGCUUGAUUUGAAUUUUCUCUUUAUUUUCCAUUAAAAAUUAUUUUAAUUUGCCUUUUAAUUCAUUUUUGUUUGAUUUUUGGUUGACU